GACAGUACGAUAGCUGCUGCGAAGCCACAACAAUGAGUCGCUUGUUGCUCCGGUUUGUGUGACGCAAUGUAAUGUACGACCUACGAAAGACAAAACCGGGAGGUCCGUGAGACAAGGGAAUAUCCCGUGAUACGAGCACCAUGUGAAGUACACCCGUCUGGCGACACCAGUGUCGCUUGACUAUUACUUUUUUCACUAAAAUCAAUUUUAUAAUCAGAUUCCAAAAAUUUUUUUAAACUUUUCCUUACUGGCGCAGUGAUCGAGAUCUGUCCAUAUGACAUUUGUACCUCCGGUUAUAAUUUUUUGUCGCAUACAUAUGUACAUGGAUGAUGUUGAUGUUGAUUGCGGAAAAAUGUAUGCAUAAAACUGCCAUCUGGGUUGUUUGCAAAUGAGCACUGAACGAAGAAAGAAGGAAAUGCAGAAAUGCAGGGCGGAACAGAGCAUGAAAUUGGAUUCCAGUCACGUGCUCUGAAUGACACACUAAUCAUGCUGUUCCAGUGCAAAAAGGUUCAGAGCUGGAUGGGGGUGGGCUGGCAAGUGACAUUAGCCGGAUCACAAGCUGCAUGUCGCAUUAUCGAAGUGCACGAGUCGAAUAUGCUUAGAUGAAAUCAAAAUUCAAUUAACCAUUUAUUAGUCGCUUCAAUCCCCAGCUGUUAGCAGUGGUGAAUUUGAUCUAAUAGUCGACAUUCUAGAGGGCGAGGGCAAAUCUACAUACAUAUGUACAUCAAAACAAAGAAGUCACGAGUUGCAAAAGCUCGUGG
Drosophila melanogaster (fruit fly) is the source of this 761-nucleotide non-coding RNA. NCBI's taxonomy places the organism in Eukaryota, Metazoa, Arthropoda, Insecta, Diptera, Drosophilidae. The record is from Ensembl.